RNAcentral lists this long non-coding RNA (1596 nucleotides) under Acyrthosiphon pisum (pea aphid). Its description in RNAcentral is "uncharacterized LOC115034248". The record is from RNAcentral. Lineage: Eukaryota; Metazoa; Arthropoda; Insecta; Hemiptera; Aphididae.
UUUAUUUUUAUUCAAGUGUAAAUACCACUGUACACUGGUAUUCAAAAUAUAAAAUAAAUACAUUAAAAGUAUCUACACAUGGUUCGUCAAGAAUAGUAACAUUGUUGUGAUAUUAUCAUACGAAUGUACCACCGAUUGUAUUAUGAAAACAGAUUGUGCAUCAAGAUGUGAGAAAAAACUGGCCGAUAAGGACUCCGUCAAGAUUUCCGGCGAAAUCAGUGCGACCAUGUGUGCGCUACUGACCCUGUAUAUAUAUUAUAUAUUUAAUUUAAAUGUUUAGUCCCCCGACCGACCGUUUGCGUUCAUUUGCAAUCGUCAGCCAUUAUCUACAUUAUUAUAACAAUAUAAUACGUCGAGUAUAAACAUUAAACGCAUUAUGGUUUUAUAGACACAGGUAAAAUAGCGAAUAAUAUAACGAAAAAUACUAAAAUUCCUAACGCACCCUGGACACUCCUUAUGUAGUAAGAAAAUUUAUAGAAUUGGAAAAUAUUGCUAUAAAUACCUACAUUUAAAAAUUCCCAAAAUAAUAUUUUGAAUAACUGCAUAUUUGAAGUUAUAGGUGGAGGGGAGGUGAGAAUUCCCGAUAAAUCACCCUAUAUAUAUGUAUAUAUAAUAUAUAUAUAUAUAUAUAUAUAUAUAUAUAUAUAUAUAAGUUUAGUCCCUUAACCGACCGUUUGCAUUCUUAUGUACUCGUCAGUCGUUAUUUACAUUGUUUUAUGAUAAUGCAAACCUCAAUAACUGGAAAAUAUGGGCCCCUUAUUUAUUUAUCUUGUACGUGUUCAAAGUAUAAAUAUAUUAUAUUAGAACGUUAUGACGUGACGUUAAUAACUACAGAUAAGAAAAAAACAAAUUGUGAAGAUAUUCUGAAUUUACAUUUAGAUAAUAUAAUAUAAGUGUUGCUUUUUAAAAAUCCCUUGAUUAUUUUAAGUUUGUCGAUAUUUUUAUGGAUCUACAUUAGAAUGUCUUUCUAAAAAAAAAUGGUUGAAAAACACUGUCAUAGAAUAUGGGUUAUAGUAAUAUAUUUCAAAAUUUCAAAAAUCUGAAUUUCAUUAGACUAAUAAUUAUUGUUAUCUAAUUAAAUAAAAACGAGCAAACGUCUUUUGUAUGUAGAGAUAAUCAAAAAAAUAUGGAAUACAACUGUGGGGUUGUGCCAGUAAGUCCAAUAUCGAGAUUAUCCAACGUUUCCAAAACAUUGCUCUCCGUACUAUUGUCACAGCAUACCGGUACGACAGAGAUGACAUUAUCCACCGAGAUUUGAGGAUGACGUCCGUCCAGGACGAGAUUACCAAGUUUGCCAGGGAACACGAGAUAAAGCUAGAUCAACACAGAAAUCCAGUAGCAAUUCAACUACUUGAUAACUCUCAAGACAUAAGGCGUCUCAAACGCCGAAGAUCAUAAUAUGACUUAGUAUGAAGUAUUAGACUAAGGCCGCGGGACCUCUCCACUGAGAGUGAUAACCUAAACAUGUUUUUGUAUAUAUUUACUAAAAUAUUUAUGUACAUCCCCGAAUGAAUGAAAUAGAUCAUUGAUCGUUUUAAUAAAAAAAAGCCUUAGGGUGGCUUAAAAAAAAAAAAAUAAUAAUAUAAAAAUGGGGAA